Molecule: long non-coding RNA, 1084 nt
Organism: Cloeon dipterum
Lineage: Eukaryota; Metazoa; Arthropoda; Insecta; Ephemeroptera; Baetidae
Exons: 3
Source: RefSeq, a predicted model, not a curated record
AACUAGCAGAGGACGGAUCAGGAAAUGAAAGGUUUGUUACUAAAAACAUUUUUGACGUUUCAUUGAUAUGACUUUAUGUACUAGUAUAUUUUUCCUAAAUUUUUAUCAAAGUGUUUUAAACUAUAUGGGCAGUCGUUUGCAAAAAAUCAUAUAUCAUAUACAUAAAAUUACUUUUGUUCCAAAACUAAACAGGUAGAUUGUAAGUGAACUGUAACUGCACUUAGGUCAAAUGUUCAACAAGAUCACUUUGGUUGUUCUGAUCGCAGGAUUAAAAUUUAUAUCUAAUGGAUCAGAGUUUAUUUAAUUAUAAAUUAUUUUCGAUUCUAUAAGUGAAUUAUAUCAAACAUUUUGCAGCCCUCAGGCUCGCAGCAGUGGCCUUACUCUGCGUCGCUACCGUCAGCAUCAAUGCUGCGAAGUUGCCAAUGAAAAUAGGUAGACAUGGGGGUGACCUAAUCACAACUCCUUGCCCGACGCCGACGCCGCAAAAAAUGAGGUCAGGUGUCAAAAUUACAACUCCUUGCACGCCUCCAGCUCCGCAAAGGAGGAGGUCAGAUGACCAAAUCACAAACACUCCCAUGAGGCCGACACCAACACCGCAAGAAAUUAGGUCAGGAAACAAAAUUUCAACUCCUUGUACACCACCAGUUCCACACAAAAAGGUGUCAGGAGACCAAAUCACAACUCCUUGCCCGACGCCGACGCCACAGAAAACGAUGCCAAAAGCUGAAGUUUUAGGCGGUUCUUCGGAUAAUGAUGUAACAAUCCCUUAUCCAACAACAACACGAACACCUUCUUCAAACGCUAAAAUUUCUUCUAGAGGUAAAAAUAGUCCCUAUGAAAUUUUACAUCUCCACAAAUGGUGAAAGGGGGACUCUCAUUGAGAUAUUAGCCUAACUGGUAGUGAUAAUAACCGUUAAAAUUAUAAUAGAUUUAUAUUUUCAAUUUAGAACCACUUCCGGUUAAAAUAAAUUGGAUUUUUUUUUGAAAAAUUGGGAAAACACCAAAUCCCUACAGCUAAUGAAACUGGCCUUAAUUUUUUCCCUUUACUAUGUGACUAACAAACAUAAAGGAUAUCCAAAUAAAC